AUUGAACGCUGGCGGCAUGCCUUACACAUGCAAGUCGAACGGCAGCACGGGUGCUUGCACCUGGUGGCGAGUGGCGAACGGGUGAGUAAUGUAUCGGAACGUACCUUUCAGUGGGGGAUAACUAUCCGAAAGGAUAGCUAAUACCGCAUAUUCUGUGAGCAGGAAAGCAGGGGAUCGCAAGACCUUGCGCUGAUUGAGCGGCCGAUAUCAGAUUAGCUAGUUGGUGGGGUAAAGGCCUACCAAGGCUACGAUCUGUAGCGGGUCUGAGAGGAUGAUCCGCCACACUGGAACUGAGACACGGUCCAGACUCCUACGGGAGGCAGCAGUGGGGAAUUUUGGACAAUGGGGGCAACCCUGAUCCAGCCAUGCCGCGUGAGUGAAGAAGGCCUUCGGGUUGUAAAGCUCUUUCGGACGGGGAGAAAUCGCAUCGGCUAAUACCUGGUGCGGAUGACGGUACCGUAAUAAGAAGCACCGGCUAACUACGUGCCAGCCGCCGCAGUAA
RNAcentral lists this ribosomal RNA (502 nucleotides) under uncultured bacterium. RNAcentral describes it as "partial 16S ribosomal RNA". It matches the Rfam family "Bacterial small subunit ribosomal RNA", at positions 30 to 523 of the family's 1533-position model. The record is from RNAcentral.